RNAcentral lists this unclassified non-coding RNA (142 nucleotides) under soil metagenome. RNAcentral describes it as "partial internal transcribed spacer 1". The record is from RNAcentral.
CCUAGAGUUGUAGGCUUUGCCUGCCUAUCUCUUACCCAUGUCUUUUGAGUACCUUACGUUUCCUCGGUGGGUUCCGCCCGCCGUCAUUGGACAAUUUAAACCACUUGCAGUUGAAAUCAGCGUCUGAAAAACUUAAUAGUUA